This is a long non-coding RNA of Armigeres subalbatus, 856 nucleotides long. RefSeq lists it as uncharacterized. The transcript is spliced from 3 exons. NCBI's taxonomy places the organism in Eukaryota, Metazoa, Arthropoda, Insecta, Diptera, Culicidae. The record is from RefSeq and is a predicted model, not a curated record.
GGUGUCUAAUAUUUUGCGUGAAUAUUCUUACAUUAAUUUUUACGUUCCAGUUAAUAAAUAAUUAAUUAAACUAGUUUAGAGAAAUUAAUACUUAAUAUUUCGCGAACCAUUUACACAACUGCCACUUGCCAUAAAGUUGUGUAAUAAAAAAGCUGCCAUUUUUAAUAUGCUUUUUAGGAUAAAAGCUUAGAACUAAAGUAGAUUAAAUAUUAAUGAGUCCUGAGAGAAAUUAUUUAGCUUCAAAGUAAUACUAUAAAACUCGUCUAAAAAUAAUAUGAAUGUAUUAGUAAAUUUCAAUUAUUCUAAAGCUAUGACUACGCAAAUUUGAGGAACUAAUAUGUGCUUCUGAAACUGCUCUGCCAUUUCUAUUUUAACUUGGCUGAAGAGUAGAAGCCAGUUUCAGUGCGAUAGCUAUUUUUUGAAAAGUUUCUCUAAGUUCGAGUACGUUUAAUUUCGCACGAGGCGAACGCUCUACUCUCGAGCAAUUUAUUUUAGUACUUAAAGCGUCCGAACGACGCUUUUUGUACGGGUUUUUCUUUUUCCCGUUCCCGCUGGACACGUCUCGUCCACGCGGUGUGAACCCGGCCGUGCGGGCCCGCCAUUACGAUAGCCAAACGAGGAUUGAGGCAUUCCGACCUACCGAGAUUCUCCAAAGGAAAGUUUCCCCCAGUCCCGGUGGUUGUGUAGUCCCACAGACGAAGGCCAGUUGGAGACCCGUGACGCUUCCUGAGGAGAGGAGACGGCAGAGUAUUGGACCAUCAGCCACCGCCCUUUCUCGCAACUAUAGAUCGGCCAACUACGCACGUGUGCCCAUUCCGGCGAUGCAUCUGCCGAAGAGCUCGAGUAUUCCGUCGCA